UACGUAGGGUGCGAGCGUUAAUCGGAAUUACUGGGCGUAAAGCGUGCGCAGGCGGUUCGUUAAGUCAGAUGUGAAAGCCCCGGGCUCAACCUGGGAACUGCAUUUGAAACUGGCGGGCUUGAGUGUGGCAGAGGGGGGUGGAAUUCCGCGUGUAGCAGUGAAAUGCGUAGAGAUGCGGAGGAACGCCGAUGGCGAAGGCAGCCCCCUGGGCCAACACUGACGCUCAGGCACGAAAGCGUGGGGAGCAAACAGG
RNAcentral lists this ribosomal RNA (253 nucleotides) under uncultured bacterium. RNAcentral's name for it is "partial 16S ribosomal RNA". It matches the Rfam family "Bacterial small subunit ribosomal RNA", at positions 524 to 776 of the family's 1533-position model. The record is from RNAcentral.